GUUCUCUGCCGGGAAGGGGCUAGAGUCACCCCCAGGAGCAGGAGUUGGGGCACCAGGAUUCCCGAGAGUCACUGGGAGGUAGAGGGUCCACCCAUGGAAACGAGGCGAUGGAUGGAUUGGGAAGGAGACACACGUGCUGGAUAAUGAGAGAAAAUGAGAAGAUUGGACCUGAUGACUUUCAAGGUCCCGACCUAUGAUCCUAUGAUCAAAGGAGGCAAUAAGGAAUGUCCUCUGGAGAGGUGACCCAAGGUUCAGGGUAUCAUGGAGAAGGAAGUAUGCCUUGAAAGAAUGGAAGAAGUGCUUCCAGUAGGAAGAAAGGUGUGGAGAAGCAGAGGGGGAUCCUAAACUGUGUCAAGAGUUUGGAAAAUAUUGGUCCCAAGAGUAGUCCAGACAGGACAUUUCUAGAUUGGGAAUGCUUUCCAGUGCAUGUGCAGAAAUUCAGGUUUCUUAUACAUGAAGGACUGAAUGCUGAAGGCCAAAAAACAGAGGAUGGCACCAGUCCACAGCAGGAUGGAGAAGCC
Sarcophilus harrisii (Tasmanian devil) is the source of this 521-nucleotide long non-coding RNA. RefSeq lists it as uncharacterized. The transcript has 5 exons. Lineage: Eukaryota; Metazoa; Chordata; Mammalia; Dasyuromorphia; Dasyuridae. The record is from RefSeq and is a predicted model, not a curated record.